UGGGGAAUAUUGGACAAUGGAGGGAACUCUGAUCCAGCAAUUCUGUGUGUGUGAAGAAGGUUUUAGGACUGUAAAACACUUUUAGUAGGGAAGAAAAAAAUGACGGUACCUACAGAAGAAGCAACGGCUAAAUACGUGCCAGCAGCCGCGGUAAUACGUAUGUUGCGAGCGUUAUCCGGAAUUAUUGGGCUUAAAGGGCAUCUAGGCGGUAAGACAAGUUGAAGGUGAAAACCUGUGGCUCAACCAUAGGCUUGCCUACAAAACUGUUGAACUAGAGUACUGGAAAGGUGGGUGGAACUACACGAGUAGAGGUGAAAUUCGUAGAUAUGUGUAGGAAUGCCGAUGAGGAAGAUAACUCACUGGACAGAAACUGACGCUGAAGUGCGAAAGCUAGGGGAGCAAACAGG
RNAcentral lists this ribosomal RNA (407 nucleotides) under Verrucomicrobiota bacterium. RNAcentral's name for it is "Verrucomicrobia bacterium partial 16S ribosomal RNA". It matches the Rfam family "Bacterial small subunit ribosomal RNA", at positions 355 to 776 of the family's 1533-position model. The record is from RNAcentral. Lineage: Bacteria; Pseudomonadati; Verrucomicrobiota.